Molecule: long non-coding RNA, 1296 nt
Organism: Stomoxys calcitrans (stable fly)
Lineage: Eukaryota; Metazoa; Arthropoda; Insecta; Diptera; Muscidae
Exons: 3
Source: RefSeq, a predicted model, not a curated record
UCAAGGAAGCAUACAAAAAUUUUUUCAAAAAAGGAAAAUCAAAAUAAUCAGAACGAAAUCUAAAAAGAAACCUAACAAACCAGCAAUAAAAGAUGGAUCAAUUCAACCAAUUCGUGGAGUCCGAAUUUGAAGCAACCGAGGAACAUGGAAUUCGUGAAAAUAACAACAUUGACGAUUCUUGUUCUGCAAAUGAGCCCUAUCAAGAAGGGCACGGAAGAGAGUCGUUAAAACGUUUUCCUGACCAUCCCGAGGCAAAAAUAGAAACCAAAAACGAAAAUCAAAGAAAGGCAACGAGGAAUGUCCUAAUGAAGUCUUUGAUUCUGAUUGCGGCACGAAUGGGCAAUAUGGUGGAUUAGGAGGAACUAGUUGCGUAGAGGAAUAUUUGGGAUAGGAGGCAUCUGACGUACAGGAAUAUAAUGCAGUUGGGAGUCAGUUUUGUAACAUAGCUGGGAAUUUUGGCAAUCUGAAAAGGGAUUUCAGAGAUUAGCAGCAGAGUUUGAACAAUUUUCAAUUAGAAGGCUAUAGAACAGCCGAUGCCUUUGUGGACGCCUCUAAUAACAUUGACUUAGAAUUUAGCUCAGGAUUCGAUACGGACGAAGAACCAGGGGUUAUUCGUUUUAGUUCCCACAACCCACUCGUAAUUAAAGAAAUUCGAUCUUCCAAAACAGAAAUGUUUAAUGUUAUGCAUUUUUUCCAAUGCAUUUUGUGUUGACAAGAGCUAUGAAUGAAGUUUCUAUUUUAAAGAUUUUACCUACCUACCUAUGUUUUACCUAUCAGUUGUCAAACUUUUCAAAUCAAGGAAGCAUACACAAUUUUUUUCAAAAAAGGAAAAUCAAAAUAAUCAGAACGAAUUCUGAUUGCGGGACGAAUGGGCAAUAUGGUGGAUUAGGAGGAACUAGUUGCGUAGAGGGUAAGUAUUGCAAAAUGUGUUCAAUUAGAAUAUUUUUGUUAAUAUGUAUCUCGCUCGAACAUUUUGUUAAUUUAAAAUAAAAAUGUCAUUCUAGAAUAUUUGGGAUAGGAGGCAUCUGACGUACAGGAAUAUAAUGCAGUUGGGAGUCAGUUUUAUAACAUAGCUGGAAAAUUUGGCAAUCCGAAAAGGUAUUUCAGAGAUUGGCAGCAAGUUUGAACAAUUUUCAAUUAGAAGGCUAUAGAACAGCCUAUGCCUUUGUGGACGCCUCUAAUAACAUUGACUUAGAAUUUAGCUUAGGAUUCGAUACGGACGAAGAACCAGGGGUUAUUCGUUUUAGUUCCCACAACCCACUCGUAAUUAAAGAAAUUCGAUCUUCCAAAACAGAA